RNAcentral lists this non-coding RNA (25 nucleotides) under Rattus norvegicus (Norway rat). Lineage: Eukaryota; Metazoa; Chordata; Mammalia; Rodentia; Muridae. The record is from RNAcentral.
UACAAGUUAGCAAACAUGUCACAAA